RNAcentral lists this long non-coding RNA (957 nucleotides) under Vombatus ursinus (common wombat). RNAcentral describes it as "lncRNA (ENSVURG00010014307.1)". The record is from RNAcentral. Lineage: Eukaryota; Metazoa; Chordata; Mammalia; Diprotodontia; Vombatidae.
GGAUUGAAAAAGGCCCAGUUGUGUCCACCUCUGCAGAAAGGCUGAUGGAAAGGUCAGUCAUUUAUUCCAAAUCUGAUCUAGUAAGGGAAGGAAAUGAUUCUGUUGCUGUAAACUAACUCUUCAAUUCUUUUCCUCCUUUCCCCUUAGAUUUCAGUUCUGAGUCAACAUGAAGAAAAUGUCCAGUGUUUAAUAGAUAAUAAAUAGAUAUUCUUAAACUGUUUUCAAAAGAAUGGGUAUCCUGCUAUAGAAGAAAGAAAUAACUUUCCAAGAUGACCAUUAUUUCUGAGUCUAGAAUAAAGGACACUGCCACUACAAUUGGUGAAGGAGGAAGAGCAUUCAUAUGAAUCAUUCUAUUCUUUUAACCAACAAGCACUGCAUUGCAUGCGUGCAUACAAGAGAACUGCUGGGCUUGGAUCUAUAUUGCUUCUUCCUGAUGGACAUCUAACUAGCCUUCAGGGACAUCUGGCUGACCUCCUGGGAAAUCAGGCUGACACCUUGAGACAGAAGUCUGCUGGAAAGAGCAACCAGCAGCCCUCUGACUCAGACCUGACUACUCCAUGGAACAGGCAGAAAUGAGACUCAGAUUCAGACCCCUCCCCACCAACAAGGAAGCAGAAAACCAGGUCUUCUCAUUCAAAACUCUCUCCAUCCCUCCACCCUGAAGGAAUCAGCCUCCUGGAGCAAAGGCCAAGCAGAUGUUUUCUGAGGCCGGAACUGGGUUGGUGUCUUAUGUAAGGAGAGAGCAGCAGGAGCUCAGGAGGCAGGACCAAGAAACCAAACAUUUGGAAGUUGAAUUCCAAAAUGCUGAAACCAUUUUUUGAGAUAAGUCUGGUUGAGAGAGGGACCCAAAGCUGGAAUGAUUAAAGCAAUGGUGAAAAAAAGAAGAGUCAGAGAAAAAUGAACAGUAUGCUCAGUGGGGAAAGGGCCUUGUGCAGAGCCAGCAGCAGCAACAAAAUU